Molecule: non-coding RNA, 2179 nt
Organism: Chlorocebus sabaeus (green monkey)
Lineage: Eukaryota; Metazoa; Chordata; Mammalia; Primates; Cercopithecidae
Source: RefSeq, a predicted model, not a curated record
GUACCUUCCCUAGGAGCGGCAAGCAGGUGGGUGUGGCGGGGCCUCUGCAAUCCCAACAUUCCCUUCGUGCCGCCAUCAAUAUGGCGGCGCCCAUCUUUCGGUCCUUUUCCUGGGGCCGUUGGUCUGGUACCCUAAAUCUCUCAGUAUUCUUGCCCUUGGGGCUGCGUAAGGCCCACUCGGGCCCUCAGGGGUUACUGGCAGCGCAGAAGGCUCGAGGUCUGUUCAAGGACUUCUUCCCGGAGACGGGGACGAAAAUAGAACUCCCAGAGCUCUUCGACCGUGGCACGGCGAGUUUUCCCCAAACCAUUUACUGUGGCUUCGACCCCACGGCAGACUCGCUUCAUGUGGGCCAUCUUCUUGCGCUGCUGGGCCUGUUUCAUUUGCAGCGAGCCGGCCACAACGUGAUCGCGCUGGUGGGAGGCGCCACGGCGCGCCUGGGAGACCCGAGCGGCCGUACCAAGGAACGCGAGGCGCUGGAGACAGAGCGCGUGCGAGCCAACGCGCGCGCCCUGCGCCUAGGGCUUGAGGCUCUGGCGGCUAAUCACCAGCAGCUUUUCACUGAUGGGCGCUCCUGGGGCAGCUUCACUGUGCUGGACAACUCGGCCUGGUACCAGAAGCAGCACCUGGUGGACUUUCUGGCGACAGUUGGGGGUCACUUCCGCAUGGGGACGCUGCUGAGCCGGCAGAGCGUGCAGCUGCGGCUCAAGAGCGCGGAGGGCAUGAGCUUGGCCGAAUUCUUUUACCAGGUGCUCCAGGCCUAUGACUUCUAUUACCUCUUCCAGCGUUAUGGAUGCAGGGUCCAGCUGGGCGGAUCUGAUCAACUAGGCAACAUUAUGUCUGGAUAUGAGUUCAUCAACAAGUUGACUGGAGAAGAUGUAUUUGGAAUCACCGUUCCUCUAAUUACAAGUACAACUGGAGCAAAGCUGGGAAAGUCUGCUGGCAACGCUGUUUGGCUAAACAGAGAUAAGACAUCUCCAUUUGAAUUGUAUCAAUUCUUUGUCAGGCAACCAGACGAUUCAGUGGAAAGGUACCUGAAGCUGUUCACUUUCCUGCCCCUUCCAGAGAUUGAUCAUAUCAUGCAGCUGCAUGUCAAAGAGCCAGAAAGGUGGGGUGCUCAGAAACGACUGGCAGCAGAAGUAACAAAGCUUGUUCAUGGACGAGAAGGAUUGGAUUCUGCUAAAAGGUGUACACAAGCCCUUUAUCACAGUAGCGUAGAUGCACUGGAGGUCAUGUCUGAUCAGGAGUUAAAAGAGUUAUUUAAAGAAGCUCCAUUUUCUGAAUUUUUUCUCGAUCCUGGAACAAGUGUCCUAGAUACCUGCCGCAAAGCAAAUGCCAUUCCAGAUGGUCCCCGAGGGUAUCGAAUGAUAACAGAAGGCGGAGUCAGCAUAAAUCACCGACAAGUAACAAAUCCUGAGAGUGUUUUAGUUGUUGGACAACAUAUUCUCAAGAAUGGACUUUCCUUACUUAAAAUAGGAAAAAGAAAUUUCUACAUAAUAAAAUGGCUUCAGUUAUGAUGAAAAGUCCUUCAUGUUGUCCAAAUAAACUUAACCAUCCUUCAUUCUCAAGACCUGAAGGGCUGGCUCCAGAACUUAGACCUUUGCUUAUGCAAAUCAGAAAAAUAGAAUGGACUAGGACUCAGUGCAGCAGAGCAUGGCUUUAGUGUUCAAAUUCUAGCCAUUACUACCUGGAUUACUUGGAGCAAGUCACUGUCUUCAUACGCAAAAAUGGAGGUGUUAUAAUACCUUGCUGAACUGUCAGAAUCUGGUAGGAAAAAAGUCAUAAAAUGUUUGGUAUUCUAUACAGUUAUGUUCCAAAAUAGAUUUAGGUAUUAAACAGCUCUUUCUUUUCUCUCUCUCCCUUUCUCUGGGAGAAAAGUUAAGAAUUCAUUUUUUGACAAACUUUAACGUCAUUUCAUACCAGCAAUUUUAUUUACACAGCAAGAACAUACAGGUAUGUUAUAAAUGUCAGAGAUCAUCUCUACAUUUCAGAUCUUGAUUCAGUUUAAGGGCCAACAAAGGAAGGUUUUUCUCUUUCCAUUAAGUUUCUUGCCUCCGAUUUUUGUUGUACAAAGCGUGUAGUACUAGCAAGUGCAUUACCAUAGCAUGUCUUUAAUUUUCCAUUUGAAAUCUGAUAUGCUUGAGAAAAGUGCAUCAAAAAUUUUUGUUUUUGUUUUUGUUUU